UUAAGUAUUUUAAGAAAUACUUUCUGCGACUAAUAAAGUCCGCUUUAAUUAUUCACUGGCUUUUAUUUCACGCACGGCUUAUAAGUUCUUUUCUUCCGUGGCUUAGGAAAUAAUUUCCAUUAUACUUGAAAAGAGGCUCUUCACUAAAAGUAUUAAACCGAGAACUAAUUUCUUAAGUCCAGCAAGGAGUUUACUUAAUCUGGGCCAAAGUAUUAUUUCAUUAAGCAUUUUCGGUCCAGCUUAUCUAAUUGGCCCAAUUCUUUUCUUCUUCUCAUUUAAUCUGGCCCAGCUUAAUUAAUUCCAGGCCCAAGUGAUGAAUAGUGGAAAAGGCCCAAAUACCCCCUUCACCAACCAUCGUCACUAUCUCUCUCUCAUUUCUCAAAAAUCCCCAAAUUGAAAAUGAGGAACCCUAGCCCCCUUUCUCUCCUUCCUCUCGGCGAUUUCGCACCCCGCCACCUUCAGCGCUCCUCGCCGGCGUGUGAGGAACCGGAGUCAGCCCAUUUCUAUUCCGUUCCUCUCCGCAUCGCACGACCGCUCCCACCCUCUGUCUCCUACUCGGCAAGAAGGGGUCUAAAAUUCGGAAACCUGGGGAGGUGGAGGACUCGUCGCUGUCUAACCGGCGACCCACUACCCACCAUCUCUUCCCCCUUUGAGGCAUAACCUUGUACGGGCAAUCUUGACGACGUUUUGUUCGCGGAGGGGUCACCCGUGGAGGGAAGACGUCGUAUUCUCCGUCCUUCAGCGGCAUCCCUCGGUCCACGCUGCCGUCGCCUCCAUCUUCCUCCCUUCGGCGACGCUGGACCCCUCGGCUUAGGGGUGACACGCAGACGGCGGUUCUGCCGCUGCGGAGACCCUCGUGGCAGUGCGCCGUUUAAUCAGGCAGUCGCCUCGCCGAAGCUAAGUUCCUACUAGUUAUCUUCUUUCUCUUGUCAUAGUCUAGUCCUAGUUCGCGUUUGAAAAGCAAUGUGGUUGUGCUUCUAUGUGACUGAUUCUGUGUGGAAGACACCAUUCCAUGGUUCCUUUCCUCCAGUCUCAAAAGUGCUACACUACCCUAGACAUGCAUCCUAAUGAGGCUGGGGUAUGUGCAAGGGAGGUUUACUGAUUUCUCAGAUUCUCAUGUUAUCAUAAAUCGUUUCCAUGUUUUGUUUCUAUCAUGCUCGAAUGAUGCCAUUAAACUUGAGAUUUAAGCUGAUGGGUGUUACCUUUCCCUUGUAACUCCGCUGAACUUGCUAAGCUACUCCCUUCCUUGGUCUUGACCUCUCUUGCUCCUCCGCUUGCUGCUCCGUUUAGUAACUAGUUUGUUGUGUGGUGGGGGAUGGAACUGAGGAGGAGAUUGGCAUAUUUAUGCACAGCUUGUAACUGAAAGCUGCACAAUGACUGAGGUGCACACUAGAGGUGGCACUGUGGGGGCUGAUUUCCGGACUAUAACCGGUUUGGGUAGGGAAAGCAAGGGCUGUUAUCUGCAGCUUUGCAGAGUAUUAGCUGGAGGGGAGCCUGCUGGCUGGAGUUUGCUUCUUUCGGUCCAACACUCACUCACAUUUCUGCAAGAUCACGGAGUUGCCGAGCUUGGUGCCGAACUGCCGAGCUCGGUGCCGAACUGCCGUG
This is a long non-coding RNA of Salvia splendens (bonfire salvia), 1605 nucleotides long. RefSeq lists it as uncharacterized. NCBI's taxonomy places the organism in Eukaryota, Viridiplantae, Streptophyta, Magnoliopsida, Lamiales, Lamiaceae. The transcript is spliced from 3 exons. The record is from RefSeq and is a predicted model, not a curated record.